Molecule: transfer RNA, 85 nt
Filed under: Devosia sp. MC521
Lineage: Bacteria; Pseudomonadati; Pseudomonadota; Alphaproteobacteria; Hyphomicrobiales; Devosiaceae
Also listed under: 2 other names
Description: tRNA-Leu
Rfam family: tRNA
About the family: Transfer RNA (tRNA) molecules are approximately 80 nucleotides in length. Their secondary structure includes four short double-helical elements and three loops (D, anti-codon, and T loops).
Source: RNAcentral
GCGCUCGUGGCGGAAUUGGUAGACGCACUGGAUUUAGGUUCCAGCGCUUCACGGCGUGGGGGUUCAAGUCCCUCCGGGCGCACCA